RNAcentral lists this ribosomal RNA (466 nucleotides) under uncultured bacterium. RNAcentral's name for it is "partial 16S ribosomal RNA". It matches the Rfam family "Bacterial small subunit ribosomal RNA", at positions 28 to 507 of the family's 1533-position model. The record is from RNAcentral.
GAUGAACGCUGGCGGCGUGCUUAACACAUGCAAGUCGAACGGAAAGGCUCCUGCUUGCAGGGGUACUCGAGUGGCGAACGGGUGAGUAACACGUGGGUGAUCUGCCCUGCACUUCGGGAUAAGCCUGGGAAACUGGGUCUAAUACCGGAUAGGACGAUGGUUUGGAUGCCAUUGUGGAAAGUUUUUUCGGUGUGGGAUGAGCUCGCGGCCUAUCAGCUUGUUGGUGGGGUAAUGGCCUACCAAGGCGUCGACGGGUAGCCGGCCUGAGAGGGUGUACGGCCACAUUGGGACUGAGAUACGGCCCAGACUCCUACGGGGGGCAGCAGUGGGGAAUAUUGCACAAUGGGCGCAAGCCUGAUGCAGCGACGCCGCGUGGGGGAUGACGGCCUUCGGGUUGUAAACUCCUUUCGCUAGGGACGAAGCGCAAGUGACGGUACCUGGAGAAGAAGCACCGGCUAACUACGUG